This is a long non-coding RNA of Fundulus heteroclitus (mummichog), 2416 nucleotides long. RefSeq lists it as uncharacterized. Lineage: Eukaryota; Metazoa; Chordata; Actinopteri; Cyprinodontiformes; Fundulidae. The transcript has 3 exons. The record is from RefSeq and is a predicted model, not a curated record.
CACACACACACACACACCGCUUCUCUUGCUCCGUCUCUAUUUUACUGACCCCUUUAGGAUCCACGUGAAGCCGUUAAAACGUCACUUGCUUUCUAGAAUGUGAAAUACAUAGUACGCUGUCAACUCCCCUAAACCAUAAAACUAACUUUAUGGACCCCACGUGACCAGAGGGGAGCCAGUGAGAGGAAUCAGAACAGAUUUUUACGAUCCAACUUGGAAAUAAAAACCCUCAUAUGUUUGACACGCAAAUGUCAAUGCUGCCUCCAUUUUAUAGUGUGGCCCAAAGCAGGAAGGGGCUUUAGUUUUAAAUCUACGCAUGUCUUUAUACAGCAGCUCACACAGACACGGGUCGGGAGAUUGUAUCCAGAUGAGGCUCGAAGAAGGACCCAUGUGGCUCCUGAGUAACUCAGAAAGAAAAGCAGGGGAACUGCAGCAGCAGUCGAGAAGAAAACUGGCCUGUUUGGAUCAGCUGGCUGUGUGUUUCGCUGUGUAGUUCCCUGAAGUGUGAAGUUGUGCUAGAACACCACCUUUGUCCAUGAAGAUACUCCCUUGGAAUUUCUAGGCUCAUGGACUCAAGACUGACCUGCAAAAUAGAGGAAUAUUUGGAGAACAUUAAGCCCAGUUAUGGUACUAACAGUUCGCUCAAAUGAAAAACACAAAAUGCUCCUUAUUAAGAUUAUUUUCUGCACAUCCCAUGCUAAAGUCCAAGAAAAGGCUGCAGCUUGUCCCCACGGCCAAACUACAGACAGUCCGACUGAUAAAUCGACACAAAGACUCUAUUUUUGCUUUUACUUUACCCUCCCACCCAACGCAUUCCCCAAAAGCCGAGCUCUUCUCCUAUUAAAGACACUGCGGAUAUGACUGGGAAGUGGGAACAUUUUAACGCCGAAUUCGUGUGGUCCAUGGUGGAGAAGCUGAAUUUGAAAUUUGCAGCCUUUCUGUGGUUGCUUACCUACUUUUUGCUUUUUGACCCACACCUCCCCUCUCCUGGCCUCUCUCGCGUCGGCAGGACGCUGUUUCCUCCCCGCUUUGUGGGAACGGGAAGCAGCCAACUUGUUUUGGAGCUGACUGGGGUUUAAUCAUUGAUGAGCAGCAACAAGGACGGGGAUGGCCAGCAGCCCGGGACAGACACAGGAUGCUAACACUCUCAUUACGUUACCUAGAGUCCCCCUUUCAGCGCAACGGCAUAACAAGCGACCUGGUGGGUUUCACAUCCCCUAUUCUGACAUGGAAUACAACAUUUACAGCGACAGCGCCAAUAAAUGUUUAAAUCAAUAACUUUUAUUCUGGUAAAAGAGCUUACAUAUAAAUAUGUAUAUUGUCUCACAAUAAACAGUGUAAUCACACUUCAAACAUUAUUAAUGAUUAUUAUUCUUAAUUAUUUACAUAAUUAUUAAUUAUUUUCGAAACGAUUAAGACCAAAACAGGUCUAGCUUUUUGCUACAAGUGAUUCGUUCAUUUAAAAAAGCGAACUAAGGUGUCUUUCAAUUUGAAUUAUAAUAGUUUUACCUGCUGUCAUUAAAUGACAUGAAAUGUUAUUUGAUUUAUUCUCAACCUUAUUCACCAAUCUUUUCCAAACAUAUCACAGUGAAAAGGAAACCUCGAUAAAAAAGUAUUGUGUUUAAAAAACAAAAUAUUUUUAAUGAGUUUCUGUUUGUUUUUAACUCAUGUGAAAAGCAAGCUGUAAAAGGCACAUACCAAUUUUAGUUGUUAACAAAACAAAAAGGGAAAAAACUAUUUAAUUGGGCUAUAUCACAUUGAAUCCAAAGUUUGGUUGUAAAAUAAUAUAACGAGUCAAAUAAAAGGCGUGUUUUCAAACUGAAUGAAGGAGGCUUUACAUCCAGUAAUACAUAUUAUUAAUCACAACGCAUAUUAAAAGCAUGAAAGGUAGCCUCGGUGAGUUACUUGAUACUUUGUUGGUCUGUUGUGUCGAAAUGUAAAGCUGCUGAUGCUGAGACAACGCAGGUUAAACAAUAACUUUAUUAAACAGGGUUACAAAACACGGUUGUUUUUUUUUUGUUCAUUUAAAAACAAUGUAUGCAACACGGCCUCCUUGUAAAGCCAUAUGAGAGGAAAUAACAACAUGGUUACUAUUGAAGAGCAGGGCUGUGCUUUAUGUACAUGUUGCUGUGUGUCGUUGUUGGAUGGUUGGGAGCCAAAAAGCCCUAAAAGGCAAAUAAAUUAAGUGUUUUGCAAGAAGUCUGGUGCAUUAUGCACAAACAGAGCAUGUGUUUAUGACAGUUACAGCGGACAGGGGGACAUAUUUCGCACCAUUCUUUAAAAAGUGUUUAAUUGCUCUAUUGUGUUAAUUUCUUAGUUGUUUUGGUCAUUACAUCGGGUCACAGCGGCUCUGCAACUUGCCCUUUGUAAUAAAUAAGUAAGUAAAUAAAUAUAGCAUGGUAUAGCUUUUAUGUUA